This 580-nucleotide ribosomal RNA is filed under the name uncultured bacterium. RNAcentral describes it as "bacterial SSU rRNA". It matches the Rfam family "Bacterial small subunit ribosomal RNA", at positions 49 to 624 of the family's 1533-position model. The record is from RNAcentral.
CCUUACAUGCAAGUCGAAACGGGUAACGCGGGGCAACCUGGCGACGAGUGGCGAACGGGUGAGUAAUACAUCGGAACGUGCCCAGUAGUGGGGGAUAGCCCGGCGAAAGCCGGAUUAAUACCGCAUACGACCUACGGGUGAAAGCGGGGGAUCGCAAGACCUCGCGCUAUUGGAGCGGCCGAUGUCAGAUUAGGUAGUUGGUGAGGUAAAGGCUCACCAAGCCUACGAUCUGUAGCUGGUCUGAGAGGACGACCAGCCACACUGGGACUGAGACACGGCCCAGACUCCUACGGGAGGCAGCAGUGGGGAAUUUUGGACAAUGGGCGCAAGCCUGAUCCAGCCAUGCCGCGUGCGGGAAGAAGGCCUUCGGGUUGUAAACCGCUUUUGUCAGGGAAGAAACGCUCUGGGCUAAUACCCUGGGGUAAUGACGGUACCUGAAGAAUAAGCACCGGCUAACUACGUGCCAGCAGCCGCGGUAAUACGGAGGGUGCGAGCGUUAAUCGGAAUUACUGGGCGUAAAGCGCGCGUAGGUGGUUUGUUAAGUCAGCUGUGAAAGCCCCGGGCUCAACCUGGGGAACUG